This is an RNA transcript of Arachis stenosperma, 1890 nucleotides long. RefSeq lists it as uncharacterized. NCBI's taxonomy places the organism in Eukaryota, Viridiplantae, Streptophyta, Magnoliopsida, Fabales, Fabaceae. The transcript has 6 exons. The record is from RefSeq and is a predicted model, not a curated record.
CUAAUUUUUGCUUAUAUCAAUCUAAUCAAUUUAUAAUUAUAAAGAUGGCUAGCAAAAUAGUAAAACUACAUCCACAAGCUUUGUUGGUGAGACACGUAUUUUUUAUGUUAUUACAAUCCUGUCCUACAUAUACAUUGUUAUUUAUAAUCUCUGUCCUUUUCGUAUAUAUCUUUUAACCCAUUUGAAGCUGAAAAGGUGAGAGAACUACUUAUUUCUCGAACUCUCUCCUACAAUGUUUUGAAUUGUUGCAAGGUUCCUUUUUGUCUACUGGAUCGAAGGCAGAGGUGGCUUCAGCAAUCCCCAAAUCACUCUUUCGAGUUGAAAUGCUGCUUUGUGAUUGGUUUCGUGGUAUAAACAUGAGAUUGUCAAGUAAUUAUCUCGCAGGUCAAAGUGAUUCCAGAGCAAGAUACAAUCCGAGAAGAGGUUGCAACUACCGACUAAGAGGUAUUUACAGCGACGAGGGUCAUACUGAAAAGCCAACCGAUGUGGACGGUGCAAGAAGUCAGGAACAGAUCUGAGAUCGACGUUAGUCUCCUGCUAAUAGGAAAUGAUGUGUUGUGCAUUUCUUUGGCUCAGGUCAGGCUUACCCUUCCGAAGCAGUGCGAGCUGAGUCAUUUUAAACAUACUUUCCAAUAUUGGUAAGUGGUAAUUAAGAGCUUUGUUACACUCUGCUGCUUCCGUAAGAAAAAUUAAAGAGGAAAAAAUAUAGAAGGCUCUAUGUAAAAUAUUAGCUUGAGAAAAAAAUUAUUUAUUUAUUUAUUUAUUAUUAUUAUUAUUUGCAGGUUUUAUAAGAUGAAUUGAAUUGUUCAGAAUGUAAUAUUAGACUAGGAUUUGUUUGCUUUAACGGAUAAGAAAAUAAAUGAAAUUAUUGAACUUAGUGAAAUGGUGUUGUUCAAAUUCAAACAAUGAAAUGGAGCAAAAUCAUUUAAAAUGACUAGCUCUAUUCAAACAAUGAAAUGGGGCAAAACCAUUUAAAAUGACUAGCUCCUAUGAAAUUUGAAACACAGUGUUGAUUUGCUGUUUUUCUGUUUCUGUGAUUCUUUUAUUAGUCUUUCUACCUUUUUCUUUUUUUUUUUUUGUAUGUUCUCAUUAUUUUCCUUAUCUUUCCUUUUAGUGUUUUGAUAAACCCAAUUAAAUUUUGCUAAGAAUAUGUUUUAAACUUAAGUUCAAUUUCUAAUUGGUUUCAUUGAGAUGAACUUGAAUUUCAUACGUUUUGUAUUACUUUGUGAUACAUUUCAUUAUCACAAAUGCACAAUCACCAGAACAAAUUCACUUUCAUUGUUGAAGGAGACUCUUUUUACAAAUCUUUCAGCUUAUUUUACGAAAUGGGAGAAUAGGAGUUGAGGGCUGACAAGAAAAAAUUUCAAGUAAGUUAAUGAUGAGAGGGGGAAGAAGAAAGGGAUUAUGCUUUCUGUUAUAAGUGAAAAUCCCUCCAAGAGUAUAUGAAAUAUUUGCAUAAAGAAAAUUGGUUCAUAAUGAUGAUGAGUGUGUUCAGAACUUCAGAUAGCGAAGGAGACAUGGGGUUUCAAGUGGGAGACAUGCAAGGCACUAUACCUGUUACACUUGGGCUCUCGAAACAGCAUUCUUUCCUCAGCUUUGUGAUCCCGUGUGAAUCAACAAAAAGAAGAGUACCCUGUAUAAACAUUUAUGGCACCGUUUUGAAUAUGUAUCUAGAUUCUUAGUCAACGUGCCAUUUAUUACUGUUGCAUUGCAAUUGAUGAUUAAAAAAAAAAAACAGAACAAAAUAAGAUCAUAUUUUAGUUAAUCCGUAAGCUCAAGAAAUGUAGUAUAGAAAUGUAAGAAAAGUUUUUGUGCAGGGUAAUGCUGUUUGUUUGUUUUAACUAUUAUUAAAAAUCAAAUGAAAUAUUGUGGUAUUUUUUCUUUUUCUUC